UGUUAUGUGCAACGGUCGGUGGAUCAUGGUGGACAAGAAGAUCUGACUCUAAACGAGGUACGUCUCAAACUGACUAUGGCCGUGGGGCACAACUUAACAUGCUUAAAGAGGUGGUGGUGAUGGACAGGAACAAGUUGUAGAAAUGGCUAAGAAGGCCUCUGCUGGAUGUUUUGAAGAGAGCUGGCAUUCGGAUUCCCACCAGAAUGAACUUUCUCUGACAUUGUUCCUUCCUUACCUUCCAUCCAAACCAAUGCUUCAGGGAAUUAUCAUAUUUCCAUGAUUCAAUCCACUUUUCAAAGAUCACAUUGUUUGAAAUUCCUCAAUAAAAACUUCUUUUUUGGCUGUGAAGGAACUCUUUUGAUUGGACUGUUUUAUGUGGAUCAUACAAAAUUCUGUGAACAUUUUGGAAAAAUUAUUAUGUGCCAUUCAUAUUCAAAUAUGUUCCCUUUCUCACUGUAUCACCAUCUUUUUGAACCCAGGACCUCACACACAGGAGGCCUCACUGUUCCCAUCUUAAUA
RNAcentral lists this long non-coding RNA (519 nucleotides) under Salvia miltiorrhiza (redroot sage). RNAcentral describes it as "long non-coding RNA (SMIL_LNC002772)". Lineage: Eukaryota; Viridiplantae; Streptophyta; Magnoliopsida; Lamiales; Lamiaceae. The record is from RNAcentral.